This is a long non-coding RNA of Homo sapiens (human), 654 nucleotides long. NCBI's taxonomy places the organism in Eukaryota, Metazoa, Chordata, Mammalia, Primates, Hominidae. The record is from Ensembl.
GUCGAUGAGCUUGACCGUGACUUUGCAGUGGGCUGGGAUAGGGUUAGGCCCCAGGUCUCGGGCCUGCACGUCAAUCUCCAGCAUCCCGUUUUCCUCAUAGUCCAGAUUGCCCUUCACACGGAUUAGGCCGGUCUUGGGGUCGAUGGAGAAGAGCUCCCGCACGCGGUCAGGCACGUAGCUGCUGAAAGAGUAGAGCACUUCACCAUUGGGACCUUCAUCGGCGUCGGUGGCGUUCAGAUCGAUGACCACUGUACCCAGCGGAGCGUUCUCGGGCAGUUCCACCAAGUAGGAUGGCGCCUCGAAGACCGGGCUGUUGUCGUUGGAGUCAAUCACCUUCACGUUGAUCUGUACGGUGGCGGAACGUGGAGGCUCGCCACCGUCCAGGGCAGUCAGCACGAGCGUAUGGUGAUUCUGUUGCUCGCGGUCCAGAGCCUUCUGGAUGACCAGUUCUGGGAACUUGGUGCCGUCGCCGCGGGACUUAACGUCCAGUCCAAAGAGGCCGUGAUCGUCGCGCGUGAGCAGAUCUCCUUGUCGUUGGCGAACACCUCGAGGGACAGCUGGCACUUGGCAUUGUGGCGGCACAGGGACUCGCGGUCGAUGCGCUGCUUGGUGUAGAGGAGCCCGCUGUCUGCGUCCACGUCCAGCAGGUGCGGU